AAAUUGAAGAGUUUGAUCAUGGCUCAGAUUGAACGCUGGCGGCAGGCCUAACACAUGCAAGUCGAACGGUAGCACAGAGAGCUUGCUCUCGGGUGACGAGUGGCGGACGGGUGAGUAAUGUCUGGGAAACUGCCUGAUGGAGGGGGAUAACUACUGGAAACGGUAGCUAAUACCGCAUAACGUCGCAAGACCAAAGAGGGGGACCUUCGGGCCUCUUGCCAUCAGAUGUGCCCAGAUGGGAUUAGCUAGUAGGUGGGGUAAUGGCUCACCUAGGCGACGAUCCCUAGCUGGUCUGAGAGGAUGACCAGCCACACUGGAACUGAGACACGGUCCAGACUCCUACGGGAGGCAGCAGUGGGGAAUAUUGCACAAUGGGCGCAAGCCUGAUGCAGCCAUGCCGCGUGUAUGAAGAAGGCCUUCGGGUUGUAAAGUACUUUCAGCGGGGAGGAAGGUGUUGCGGUUAAUAACCGCAGCAAUUGACGUUACCCGCAGAAGAAGCACCGGCUAACUCCGUGCCAGCAGCCGCGGUAAUACGGAGGGUGCAAGCGUUAAUCGGAAUUACUGGGCGUAAAGCGCACGCAGGCGGUCUGUCAAGUCGGAUGUGAAAUCCCCGGGCUCAACCUGGGAACUGCAUUCGAAACUGGCAGGCUAGAGUCUUGUAGAGGGGGGUAGAAUUCCAGGUGUAGCGGUGAAAUGCGUAGAGAUCUGGAGGAAUACCGGUGGCGAAGGCGGCCCCCUGGACAAAGACUGACGCUCAGGUGCGAAAGCGUGGGGAGCAAACAGGAUUAGAUACCCUGGUAGUCCACGCCGUAAACGAUGUCGACUUGGAGGUUGUUCCCUUGAGGAGUGGCUUCCGGAGCUAACGCGUUAAGUCGACCGCCUGGGGAGUACGGCCGCAAGGUUAAAACUCAAAUGAAUUGACGGGGGCCCGCACAAGCGGUGGAGCAUGUGGUUUAAUUCGAUGCAACGCGAAGAACCUUACCUACUCUUGACAUCCAGAGAACUUAGCAGAGAUGCUUUGGUGCCUUCGGGAACUCUGAGACAGGUGCUGCAUGGCUGUCGUCAGCUCGUGUUGUGAAAUGUUGGGUUAAGUCCCGCAACGAGCGCAACCCUUAUCCUUUGUUGCCAGCGGUUAGGCCGGGAACUCAAAGGAGACUGCCAGUGAUAAACUGGAGGAAGGUGGGGAUGACGUCAAGUCAUCAUGGCCCUUACGAGUAGGGCUACACACGUGCUACAAUGGCGCAUACAAAGAGAAGCGACCUCGCGAGAGCAAGCGGACCUCAUAAAGUGCGUCGUAGUCCGGAUUGGAGUCUGCAACUCGACUCCAUGAAGUCGGAAUCGCUAGUAAUCGUAGAUCAGAAUGCUACGGUGAAUACGUUCCCGGGCCUUGUACACACCGCCCGUCACACCAUGGGAGUGGGUUGCAAAAGAAGUAGGUAGCUUAACCUUCGGGAGGGCGCUUACCACUUUGUGAUUCAUGACUGGGGUGAAGUCGUAACAAGGUAACCGUAGGGGAACCUGCGGUUGGAUCACCUCCUUA
RNAcentral lists this ribosomal RNA (1540 nucleotides) under Leclercia adecarboxylata. RNAcentral describes it as "bacterial SSU rRNA". It matches the Rfam family "Bacterial small subunit ribosomal RNA". Lineage: Bacteria; Pseudomonadati; Pseudomonadota; Gammaproteobacteria; Enterobacterales; Enterobacteriaceae. The record is from RNAcentral.